Myotis lucifugus (little brown bat) is the source of this 688-nucleotide long non-coding RNA. RefSeq lists it as uncharacterized. The transcript has 3 exons. The record is from RefSeq and is a predicted model, not a curated record. Lineage: Eukaryota; Metazoa; Chordata; Mammalia; Chiroptera; Vespertilionidae.
CCCUGUGGAAAUGAUUGAGGUUCGCCACAACGUUUGUCACGUUUGGCCUUUUCCGUUAAAAUCUGGUGUGUUCAUGUGCUGUCCAGCGUCCACCGCAGGUCAGAUGGAGCUUAGGAAGACAAGGGAGCCAAGUAAUAAACGGGUCAAACCCCUUUCCAGAGUCACAUCACUAGCAAACCUCAUCCCGCCCGUGAAGGCUACACCGCUAAAGCGCUUCAGCCAGACCCUGCAGAAGGGAGCAAGGCAGUGGACCGAAAGGAAGAAAGAGGUAUUUCAACUUGUAAACUGGGGUGAGGCGGUGUCCUUUGAGAGGGGUAACUUGAAGAGUCAUCUCUGUCCAGUCUUUUCUCACAAUUGUAUUUCCGAGUUGUGUGCCCUGUCCAGACGCCCUCUGACAGGUUUCAUUCUAACGUGUCUCCAGGCUUCUAAGGAUGUGAGUCCGAAGGCAAGAGAGCCUCGUGGUGUAGGUCGGGAUCUGCAAAUUAUAGCCCAUGGGAAAAGAUUCAGCCCACCUUCUGUCUUCUUACGGCCCACGAGCUAGGAAUGUUUUUUACUUUUUUGAAUGGCUGGGGGGAAAUUAAAAGAGGAAUUAUAUUCCCCCACACGUGAAAAUGAUAUGAAAUUCUAAUUUCAGUGUCCGUGAAUAAAGUUGUGUUGGGACACAGGUAUGCCCAAUGUUUAUGUCCUG